GAUGAACGCUGGCGGCAGGCUUAACACAUGCAAGUCGAGCGGAGUGAUGGUGCUUGCACUAUCACUUAGCGGCGGACGGGUGAGUAAUGCUUAGGAAUCUGCCUAUUAGUGGGGGACAACAUUUCGAAAGGAAUGCUAAUACCGCAUACGUCCUACGGGAGAAAGCAGGGGAUCUUCGGACCUUGCGCUAAUAGAUGAGCCUAAGUCGGAUUAGCUAGUUGGUGGGGUAAAGGCCUACCAAGGCGACGAUCUGUAGCGGGUCUGAGAGGAUGAUCCGCCACACUGGGACUGAGACACGGCCCAGACUCCUACGGGAGGCAGCAGUGGGGAAUAUUGGACAAUGGGCGCAAGCCUGAUCCAGCCAUGCCGCGUGUGUGAAGAAGGCCUUAUGGUUGUAAAGCACUUUAAGCGAGGAGGAGGCUACUGAAGUUAAUACCUUCAGAUAGUGGACGUACUCGCAGAAUAAGC
This 468-nucleotide ribosomal RNA is filed under the name Acinetobacter sp. DM86. RNAcentral describes it as "bacterial SSU rRNA". It matches the Rfam family "Bacterial small subunit ribosomal RNA", at positions 28 to 491 of the family's 1533-position model. The record is from RNAcentral. Lineage: Bacteria; Pseudomonadati; Pseudomonadota; Gammaproteobacteria; Moraxellales; Moraxellaceae.